Molecule: non-coding RNA, 73 nt
Organism: Acanthoscelides obtectus
Lineage: Eukaryota; Metazoa; Arthropoda; Insecta; Coleoptera; Chrysomelidae
Source: the annotation of a GenBank genome assembly
GCCUCUGUAGCUCAAGAGGCAAAGCACUGAUCUUGUAAACCAGGGGUCGUGAGUUCAAUCUUCACGGGAGGCA